This 609-nucleotide ribosomal RNA is filed under the name Triticum aestivum (bread wheat). RNAcentral describes it as "partial small subunit ribosomal RNA". Lineage: Eukaryota; Viridiplantae; Streptophyta; Magnoliopsida; Poales; Poaceae. The record is from RNAcentral.
AUGUGCGGCAAUGAGGAGGAAUCGCUGUUUCACUCUCUGGUUUCAUGCAAUCAUGCCAAACUGUUUUGGACAGAGGCAGAAGAUUUCUUCGAGUUCAAGAUACCACGGCUACACCCAGCGACGUGGUCGAGGGAUUUGCUUGAUCCCAGUUUUAUCGGGAGAGACCGGGCGGUUGUCAUUAUCUCAGUCAUGUGGGCAAUCUGGUCAAGUAGGAACAAAUACACCCAUGAGGAAGUCAAAUAUCAGCCCGGGAGAUCGAUGGUCCUAGUGAAGGAACUCAUCCAAGCUCUGUACAUCCUGCCCAAUGCCGAGGGGAGGUGUAUCACGAAGGAGAGAUGGAAGCCACCGGAAGAAGGAUGGUGGAAGAUCAAUACGGACGCUGCGGUGGAUGGGAGCGGGGCUUCCUCAGCGAUCGGACUAGUGGCUCGGGGCCAUGACGGAGAAUUGAAGCUAGCGGGAGGCCGCAAGCUGCCCGGGGUAACUGAUCCGUAUUGUGCUGAAUUGCUAGCUGUUAGGGAGGCUGUGCGUCUGGCUAUGGAGAAGGGUUGGACGCGGGUGAUCGUCGAGACGGACUGCAAAACUAUUAUAAACGAGUAUAUGGCGAUGUAG